RNAcentral lists this ribosomal RNA (404 nucleotides) under uncultured archaeon. Its description in RNAcentral is "bacterial SSU rRNA". It matches the Rfam family "Archaeal small subunit ribosomal RNA", at positions 1 to 412 of the family's 1478-position model. The record is from RNAcentral.
UUCCGGUUGAUCCCGCCGGACCUGACUGCUAUCGGAUUGAUACUAAGCCAUGCGAGUCAUUGUAGCAAUACAAGGCAGACGGCUCAGUAACGCGUAGUCAACCUGACCUAUGGACGGGAAUAACCUCGGGAAACUGAGAAUAAUGCCCGAUAGAACACUAUACCUGGAAUGGUUUGUGUUCCAAAUGAUUUAUCGCCGUAGGAUGGGACUGCGGCCUAUCAGUUUGUUGGUGAGGUAAUGGCCCACCAAGACUAUUACAGGUACGGGCUCUGAGAGGAGUAGCCCGGAGAUGGGUCCUGAGACACGGACCCAGGCCCUAUGGGGCGCAGCAGGCGAGAAAACUUUGCAAUGUGCGAAAGCACGACAAGUUUAAUCCGAGUGAUUUGUGCUAAACGAAUCUUUUG